This 66-nucleotide transfer RNA is filed under the name Cerceris bucculata. RNAcentral describes it as "tRNA-Thr". The record is from RNAcentral. Lineage: Eukaryota; Metazoa; Arthropoda; Insecta; Hymenoptera; Crabronidae.
GAUUAUAUAGUUUAAUAUAAAACAUUAAUUUUGUAAAUUAAUAUUAAAAUAAAAUUUUUAUAAUCA